AUGACAUAAAGUAACUCCAAACGUUACCGGUCUCCUGGUGCUCUUGAUUUUUGAGAUUUGCAUAUGAAAAGCAAAUGCAAUACCCAGAACGAGCAAAGAACCAAAAUGCCACGUUUUUUUAAAAAGUUACAGGCCACAACUCCAGCUGUGGGCAGCUUUGCAAGGAGACAACUUCCAAGCAAAGAAGUCUGCCAGCUAGAGAAGGGGGGAAUCCUGCCGGUCUGCCCAAACCCAACCGUGCCAUCAGCACUCCCAGUGAGGGAGUCUUGCUGGAGUGAGAGAAGAUCAAGGUGAUCCAGCUGCAAAUCAGAUCCUGCUGAGUUUCAUAACUUCUGAAUUCCUCAUAUUAUACUCUGGAUUAUCAAGAAAAUGGUGUACUUAAAAGAUCAAACAAGGCAAAACCUAAAGUGAAAGAGAAAAUGAAUGUAAGCUCACAUUUCCAUCAUGCCUUGUAGAAAAAUCCACAGGAGGAAGAAAGAUAACAUUGAAUCCAAACCCUGAGAACAGAGCCCCGUGAAAGCGAGAAAUUAUAAACGCCACUGAAGAGAUUUUCUCCAGAAAGAUCACAGGUCUCACGCUUUAGUCAUGGCCUGUUCCUUCGCCAGCAGGUUCAGAGUGAUCUGUAAGAGCUAAGUGAUUUCUUUCAAGUAAGCUGCUCACGAGGACUACAGAAACCUCGAGGAUUACAGUACACAAACAAUGGGAGAAAAGCGGCUUCAAAUAAUACACCCAGACAAUGGAGUUGCCAUUAUGGUAGCAAUGCAAAAUAUGGACAGGGAUUUAAACGAAACGAGUGAUAUCUGUAUACUUUGGAGGGCUCACGUGUGCCAAAUUUGGCAGCAUGAGUGUUCAUCUUGCUUGUUGCUCCACCCCUUGAACAAUGAGGCUAAACCCCGUAAGUGCAGGAGUUGGUAGAGCACAAGCAGUUUUGCUAAUCACACUGCAUGCAAAAGCAAAAAGACAAAGGGAACUAGUAAUGCUUAGACUAACACUGGGGAAAUAAUUAAGCAUGAAUGAAAAAUUGUAUGUGGAUUUGAAAUGAAUGUGAGGCAUUCUUGGAAACAAUUGUACUGUUUCAGUUGUGCUGCCUUCUCCCCUAAGUUUCACAAAGUAAUUUGCAUGUCAUUUAAA
Long non-coding RNA from Rhea pennata, 1131 nucleotides. RefSeq lists it as uncharacterized. NCBI's taxonomy places the organism in Eukaryota, Metazoa, Chordata, Aves, Rheiformes, Rheidae. The transcript has 4 exons. The record is from RefSeq and is a predicted model, not a curated record.